This 77-nucleotide transfer RNA is filed under the name Planctomycetota bacterium. Its description in RNAcentral is "Planctomycetes bacterium (marine metagenome) tRNA-Trp". It matches the Rfam family "tRNA". From Rfam's summary of the family: Transfer RNA (tRNA) molecules are approximately 80 nucleotides in length. Their secondary structure includes four short double-helical elements and three loops (D, anti-codon, and T loops). Further hydrogen bonds mediate the characteristic L-shaped molecular structure. tRNAs have two regions of fundamental functional importance: the anti-codon, which is responsible for specific mRNA codon recognition, and the 3' end, to which the tRNAs corresponding amino acid is attached (by aminoacyl-tRNA synthetases). tRNAs cope with the degeneracy of the genetic code in two manners: having more than one tRNA (with a specific anti-codon) for a particular amino acid; and 'wobble' base-pairing, i.e. permitting non-standard base-pairing at the 3rd anti-codon position. The record is from RNAcentral. Lineage: Bacteria; Pseudomonadati; Planctomycetota.
AGGGCAGUAGCUCCAAUGGCUAGAGCGGCUGAUUCCAAAUCAGCAUGUUGAGGGUUCGAGUCCUUCCUGCCCUGCCA